This 503-nucleotide ribosomal RNA is filed under the name uncultured bacterium. RNAcentral describes it as "bacterial SSU rRNA". It matches the Rfam family "Bacterial small subunit ribosomal RNA", at positions 791 to 1301 of the family's 1533-position model. The record is from RNAcentral.
UAGUCCACGCCGUAAACGAUGAUCACUCGCUGCUAGCAAUACACUGUUAGUGGCCAAGCGAAAGCAUUAAGUGAUCCACCUGGGGAGUACGCCGGCAACGGUGAAACUCAAAGGAAUUGACGGGGGCCCGCACAAGCGGUGGAGCAUGUGGUUUAAUUCGAUGAUACGCGAGGAACCUUACCAGGGCUUAAAUGUAGAGUGACUGACUUGGAAACAGGUCUUUCUUCGGACACUUUACAAGGUGCUGCAUGGUUGUCGUCAGCUCGUGCCGUGAGGUGUCGGGUUAAGUCCCAUAACGAGCGCAACCCCUAUUCUUAGUUGCCAGCGGUUCGGCUGGGGACUCUAAGAAAACUGCCCGCGCAAGCGGUGAGGAAGGUGGGGAUGACGUCAAAUCAUCACGGCCCUUACGUCCUGGGCUACACACGUGCUACAAUGGUAAUGACAAUGGGCAGCCACUCCGCGAGGAGGAGCAAAUCCACAAACAUUAUCUCAGUUCGGAUCGG